AAAUAGGUACUUGUUGCUUAUUUGUCUUAUGUAUAGUAGUGUCUGUCUGCUGAUCCCAAACUUCUAAUUUAUCUCUGCCCUACUCCUUUCCACUUUGGAAACCAUGAGCUUGUUUUCCGUAUCUGUGAGUCUGUUUUAUAAAUAAGUUCACUUGUAUUAUUUCUUUUAGAUUGCACAUAUGAGAGGUACCAUGUGUAUCUUUACCUUUCUCUGUCUGACCUGCUUCACUCAGUAUGAUGAUUUCUCGGUCCAUCCAUGUUGCUGUAAAUGGCAGGAGUUCAGUCUUUUUCACGACUCAGUAAUAUUCCACUGUCUGUACGUGCCACACCUUCUUUAUCCAGUCACCCGUCCGCGGACAUUUAGGUUGCUUUCCCACAUCCUUUCCCAGUUGGCUAAUCUUUCCAGCUGGACUCUGACAAGAGGCGCCCAAUGAGUGCAGCUCAACCACUUUGUCUGGAAGGUCGGCGGGGGCCUAUAAGUCAGCUCUGAUGGCCUGGGAGGCUGAGGGCAGCAGAUGUGCUUCUGGAACAGCUGUGAGAAACAAGGAGGCCCCUCUUUCUUCUGUCACAGCAGCGGAUUAUCAGCUUGACCCAGGCGGUUGGAGGAGCCCCACCGCCUCCUGACGCGCCUGGCCUGUCAGCCCUCACCUUCCCACAGGACCGGAAGUCCUUCCCCUAACCCUGACCUUGACCCUGACCCAUCCCCGUCCCUCUGGGGCUACCCUCGCCUCAAGCCGCGGCCUCCACACAGCAGGCCCCUCUCAGGGUCCCUCGGAGACGCCUCAGGGUCACGGAGUUACUCAGAUCAAAUGGCCCCCAGAGGUGACCCACCACCCUCUGCUCAGCUGCGGCACAGGACCAGAAGAAAGCCCAGGGUCGGGAGGGAUGGGGACGGAUAAACACAGAGCGCACGCCCGCGUGUCCGUCCACCUCAGAGCGGGAAGACGGGCGGGGCGGGGCGGGGGGGGGGGGGGGGGGAAAUGACGCGCCGGGGAAGGAAGUGCAUCACCACAGGAAAACGGAAUGGCUCCGGCCCCACCGUCGGGCCUCCGGAGGAAGCCUCGCUCAGCCCCUUGUCUCCCGCCGGCUUGGCCGGCCCUGGGGACACCUGACCCACUUCCCCGAGGCCGCGUUGCGACGGAGCGUCUUUGGUGAACGGCCCAGCCCGGGUCGUGCAGAGGGCGGCUCCCUCACCUUCGGAGCUGGCGACGUGUGUCCCGAGCGGGAGGCCCCAUCUUGCUCGGGCCCGGCGUGGGGAAGCGAGGCCCGGGGCCUCCGGGGGAGGAGCCCAGGGCCUGGCUGGCAUCCGGCCUGGGGCCUGAGGCGCAGGGCCGGAGGCGGCCACUGGGUCUGGAGGCUCCUCCACGUGGACCCGCCGGCCAGCUCCUCGAGUGAGCGCACUGCCCCCGCGUCCGAGUCACGGCGGUGGCUCGGCCCACGGGGGAAGGCUGCUGCUGGAGGGGGAGACCCUGACGCAGUCUACAGCCUCGCAGCGGCUUUGCACUUGACCUGGGGGAAGGCUGGGCUGCCUUGCCGCCUUCUCUUUUCCUGCUCUUCAAUCACCUGGCUGCAGGUACCGUCACCCUGCCUAUGCAGAAAGGUCUCCGAGGCUGUUUUGCACUUCUCACAUAUCUGA
This is a long non-coding RNA of Cervus hanglu yarkandensis (Yarkand deer), 1635 nucleotides long. NCBI's taxonomy places the organism in Eukaryota, Metazoa, Chordata, Mammalia, Artiodactyla, Cervidae. The record is from Ensembl.